AAUCAACGCUGGCGGCGCGCUUAACACAUGCAAGUCGAACGAGAAAGGGGAGCAAUCCCUGAGUACAGUGGCGUACGGGUGAGUAACACGUGGAUGAUCUACCUUUUGGUGGGGAAUACCUCUGGGAAACCGGAGACAAUACCGCAUAAGUUCGGAAGAGGAAACCCGCAAGGGGCCGAAAGAGGAGUCCGCGGCCGAUUAGCUAGUUGGUGGGGUAAAAGCUCACCAAGGCAAAGAUCGGUAGCCGGCCUGAGAGGGCACACGGCCACACUGGCCCUGAAACACGGGCCAGACUCCUACGGGAGGCAGCAGUGGGGAAUCUUGCACAAUGGGGGCAACCCUGAUGCAGCGACGCCGCGUGAGCGAUGAAGCCCUUCGGGGUGUAAAGCUCUUUCGACGGGAACGAUAAUGACGGUACCCGGAGAAGAAGCUGCGGCUAACUACGUGCCAGCCGCCGCCGUAA
Molecule: ribosomal RNA, 463 nt
Filed under: uncultured bacterium
Lineage: Bacteria
Description: partial 16S ribosomal RNA
Rfam family: Bacterial small subunit ribosomal RNA
Source: RNAcentral